RNAcentral lists this ribosomal RNA (1212 nucleotides) under metagenome. Its description in RNAcentral is "SSU rRNA". It matches the Rfam family "Eukaryotic small subunit ribosomal RNA", at positions 573 to 1823 of the family's 1831-position model. The record is from RNAcentral.
GCCGCGGUAAUUCCAGCUCCAAUAGCGUAUAUUAAAGUUGUUGCGUCUAAAAAGCUCGUAGUUUGAAAACUUGCCUUGGCUUACAACAGACGUCUAAGGGCGUCACCGUUUGUCGAGAGCAAAUAUGGGUGACUGUUCUUGCCUUCUUCACUGAUUGGCUCGUAAAAGUCAUCGAAGAUCACUUUGAUUAAAUUAGGGUGCUCAAAGCAAGUGUGCUACUUGAAUAUGAAUGCAUGGAAUGAUGGAAUAUGUUGUUGUUCUAUUUGUUGGUUUUUUGAAUGACGAAAUGAUUGAAAGGAACUGUUGGGGGCAUUCGUAUUGUUGUGAGAGAGGUGAAAUUCUUAGACCAUAGCAAGACGAACUACUGCGAAAGCAUUUGCCAAGAAUGUUUUCAUUGAUCAAGAACGAAAGUUAGAGGUUCGAAGGCGAUCAGAUACCGCCCUAGUUCUAACCAUAAACUAUGCCGACUAGCAAUUUGCUUUGUAUUUUUAUGACUAAGUGAGAGGCCACGGGAAACCAAAGUAGGGUUAUGGGGGAAGUAUGGUUGCAAAGCUGAAACUUAAAGGAAUUGACGGAAGGGCACCACCAGGAGUGGAGCCUGCGGCUUAAUUUGACCCAACACGGGAAAACUUACCUGGUCCUGACACUAGAAGGAUUGACAGAUUGAUAGCUCCUUCUUGAUUUGGUGGAUGGUGGUGCAUGGCCGUUCUUAGUUGGUGGAGUGAUUUGUCUGGUUAAUUCCGAUAACGAACGAGACUCUAGCCUAUUAAAUAAUAUGCGGAAUCAAUUUCUCCCGCGUUAUUUCUUAAUGGGAUCAAGCGUGUUUAACGCUUUGAAACAGAGCAAUAACAGGUCUGUGAUGCCCUUAGAUGUUCGGGGCUGCACGCGCGCUACAUUGAAGAACAAAGUGAGCCCUCUGGCUUUUAACAAAGCUAGAAAUCUUUUAAUGUUCUUCUUAAUGGGGAUAGGGGAUUGCAAUUGUGCCCCUUGAACGAGGAAUUCCCAGUAAGUGCUAGUCAUUAGCUAGUACUGAUUACGUCCCUGCCCUUUGUACACACCGCCCGUCGCUACUACCGAUUGAAUAGUUUAGUGAGAUCAUCUGAGUGUUUGUAUGUGCAUUCUGUGCUUGUAUGGUGUACGAAGAAGAUCAAACUUGAUUAUUUAGAGGAAGUAAAAGUCGUAACAAGGUUUCCGUAGGUGAACCUGCGGAAG